Molecule: ribosomal RNA, 245 nt
Filed under: uncultured bacterium
Lineage: Bacteria
Description: partial 16S ribosomal RNA
Rfam family: Bacterial small subunit ribosomal RNA
Source: RNAcentral
UACAGAGGUCCCGAGCGUUACUGAGAAUCACUGGGUUUAAAGGGUGCGUAGGUGGUCCGUUAAGUCAGUUGUGAAAUCCCCGGGCUCAACCCGGGAACUGCUUCUGAUACUGGCGGACUUGAGGCCAGUAGAGGUCACUGGAACAGACGGUGGAGCGGUGAAAUGCGUAGAUAUCGUCUGGAACGCCUGUGGUGAAGACGGGUGGCUGGGCUGGUUCUGACACUGAGGCACGAAAGCGUGGGGAG